UGUUUGAUGUUCUAACGUGGACCCGUGAUCCGGGUUGCGGACAGUGUCUGGUGGGUAGUUUGACUGGGGCGGUCUCCUCCUAAAGAGUAACGGAGGAGCACGAAGGUUGGCUAAUCCUGGUCGGACAUCAGGAGGUUAGUGCAAUGGCAUAAGCCAGCUUGACUGCGAGCGUGACGGCGCGAGCAGGUGCGAAAGCAGGUCAUAGUGAUCCGGUGGUUCUGAAUGGAAGGGCCAUCGCUCAACGGAUAAAAGGUACUCCGGGGAUAACAGGCUGAUACCGCCCAAGAGUUCAUAUCGACGGCGGUGUUUGGCACCUCGAUGUCGGCUCAUCACAUCCUGGGGCUGAAGUAGGUCCCAAGGGUAUGGCUGUUCGCCAUUUAAAGUGGUACGCGAGCUGGGUUUAGAACGUCGUGAGACAGUUCGGUCCCUAUCUGCCGUGGGCGCUGGAGAACUGAGGGGGGCUGCUCCUAGUACGAGAGGACCGGAGUGGACGCAUCACUGGUGUUCGGGUUGUCAUGCCAAUGGCACUGCCCGGUAGCUAAAUGCGGAAGAGAUAAGUGCUGAAAGCA
RNAcentral lists this ribosomal RNA (569 nucleotides) under Shigella sonnei. RNAcentral describes it as "partial 23S ribosomal RNA". It matches the Rfam family "Bacterial large subunit ribosomal RNA", at positions 2211 to 2779 of the family's 2925-position model. The record is from RNAcentral. RNAcentral also lists the same sequence under 1 other name. Lineage: Bacteria; Pseudomonadati; Pseudomonadota; Gammaproteobacteria; Enterobacterales; Enterobacteriaceae.